Molecule: transfer RNA, 70 nt
Organism: Loxodonta africana (African savanna elephant)
Lineage: Eukaryota; Metazoa; Chordata; Mammalia; Proboscidea; Elephantidae
Rfam family: tRNA
About the family: Transfer RNA (tRNA) molecules are approximately 80 nucleotides in length. Their secondary structure includes four short double-helical elements and three loops (D, anti-codon, and T loops). Further hydrogen bonds mediate the characteristic L-shaped molecular structure. tRNAs have two regions of fundamental functional importance: the anti-codon, which is responsible for specific mRNA codon recognition, and the 3' end, to which the tRNAs corresponding amino acid is attached (by aminoacyl-tRNA synthetases). tRNAs cope with the degeneracy of the genetic code in two manners: having more than one tRNA (with a specific anti-codon) for a particular amino acid; and 'wobble' base-pairing, i.e. permitting non-standard base-pairing at the 3rd anti-codon position.
Source: Rfam
GUAUUGGUGGUUCAGUGGUAGAAUUGUUGCCUUUCAUGCAGUAGACUGGGUUCAAUUCCUAGCCAAUGCA